Molecule: ribosomal RNA, 497 nt
Filed under: uncultured bacterium
Lineage: Bacteria
Description: partial 16S ribosomal RNA
Rfam family: Bacterial small subunit ribosomal RNA
Source: RNAcentral
GAUGAACGCUGGCGGCGUGCCUAAUGCAUGCAAGUCGAGCGAACGGACGAGAAGCUUGCUUCUCUGAUGUUAGCGGCGGACGGGUGAGUAACACGUGGAUAACCUACCUAUAAGACUGGGAUAACUUCGGGAAACCGGAGCUAAUACCGGAUGAUAUUUUGAACCGCAUGGUUCAAAAGUGAAAGACGGUCUUGCUGUCACUUAUAGAUGGAUCCGCGCUGCAUUAGCUAGUUGGUAAGGUAACGGCUUACCAAGGCAACGAUGCAUAGCCGACCUGAGAGGGUGAUCGGCCACACUGGAACUGAGACACGGUCCAGACUCCUACGGGAGGCAGCAGUAGGGAAUCUUCCGCAAUGGGCGAAAGCCUGACGGAGCAACGCCGCGUGAGUGAUGAAGGUCUUCGGAUCGUAAAACUCUGUUAUUAGGGAAGAACAUAUGUGUAAGUAACUGUGCACAUCUUGACGGUACCUAAUCAGAAAGCCACGGCUAACUACGUG